AGAGUUUGAUCAUGGCUCAGAAUCAACGCUGGCGGCGUGCCUAACACAUGCAAGUCGAACGAGAAAGUGGAGCAAUCCAUGAGUAAAGUGGCGACCGGGUGAGUAACACGUGACUAACCUACCCUAGAGUGGGGAAUAACCUCGGGAAACCGGGGCUAAUACCGCAUAACAUCGCGAGGGGAAGAUCCUUGCGAUCAAAGGAGCAAUUCGCUCAAGGAGGGGGUCGCGGCUGAUUAGUUAGUUGGUGAGGUAACGGCCCACCAAGACAGAGAUCAGUAGCCGGCCUGAGAGGGCGCACGGCCACACUGGAACUGAAACACGGUCCAGACUCCUACGGGAGGCAGCAGUGGGGAAUUUUGCGCAAUGGGGGAAACCCUGACGCAGCAACGCCGCGUGGAGGAUGAAGUCCCUUGGGAUGUAAACUCCUUUCGAUCGGGACGAUAAUGACGGUACCGGAAGAAGAAGCACCGGCUAACUCUGUGCCAGCAGCCGCGGUAAUACAGAGGGUGCAAGCGUUGUUCGGAAUUAUUGGGCGUAAAGGGCGCGUAGGCGGUGCUGUAAGUCUGUGGUGAAAUCUCUGGGCUCAACUCAGAGUCUGCCAUAGAAACUGCAGUGCUGGAGUGUGGGAGAGGUGAGUGGAAUUCCCGGUGUAGCGGUGAAAUGCGUAGAUAUCGAGAGGAACACCUGUGGCGAAAGCGGCUCACUGGACCACAACUGACGCUGAUGCGCGAAAGCUAGGGGAGCAAACAGGAUUAGAUACCCCCGUAGUCC
This 771-nucleotide ribosomal RNA is filed under the name uncultured bacterium. Its description in RNAcentral is "bacterial SSU rRNA". It matches the Rfam family "Bacterial small subunit ribosomal RNA", at positions 8 to 796 of the family's 1533-position model. The record is from RNAcentral.